This 460-nucleotide ribosomal RNA is filed under the name uncultured bacterium. RNAcentral describes it as "partial 16S ribosomal RNA". It matches the Rfam family "Bacterial small subunit ribosomal RNA", at positions 355 to 827 of the family's 1533-position model. The record is from RNAcentral.
UGGGGAAUAUUGCACAAUGGGCGCAAGCCUGAUGCAGCAACGCCGCGUGAGGGACGACGGCCUUCGGGCUGUAAACCUCUUUUAGUAGGGAAGAAGCGAAAGUGACGGUACCUGCAGAAAAAGCACCGGCUAACUACGUGCCAGCAGCCGCGGUAAUACGUAGGGUGCGAGCGUUGUCCGGAAUUAUUGGGCGUAAAGAGCUCGUAGGCGGUCUGUCGCGUCUGCUGUGAAAACCCGAGGCUCAACCUCGGGCCUGCAGUGGGUACGGGCAGACUAGAGUGCGGUAGGGGAGAAUGGAAUUCCUGGUGUAGCGGUGGAAUGCGCAGAUAUCAGGAGGAACACCGAUGGCGAAGGCAGUUCUCUGGGCCGUAACUGACGCUGAGGAGCGAAAGCGUGGGGAGCGAACAGGAUUAGAUACCCUGGUAGUCCACGCCGUAAACGUUGGGCGCUAGAUGUGGGG